GGGUGCAUGGUCUAGUGGUAUGAUUUUCGCUUCGCAUCAUUGUGAAAGGUCCCCGGUUCGAUCCCGGGUGCAUCCA
This 76-nucleotide transfer RNA is filed under the name Thermochaetoides thermophila DSM 1495. RNAcentral's name for it is "Chaetomium thermophilum var. thermophilum DSM 1495 tRNA-Ala". It matches the Rfam family "tRNA". Rfam says of the family: Transfer RNA (tRNA) molecules are approximately 80 nucleotides in length. Lineage: Eukaryota; Fungi; Ascomycota; Sordariomycetes; Sordariales; Chaetomiaceae. The record is from RNAcentral.